Molecule: long non-coding RNA, 2405 nt
Organism: Catharus ustulatus (Swainson's thrush)
Lineage: Eukaryota; Metazoa; Chordata; Aves; Passeriformes; Turdidae
Exons: 2
Source: RefSeq, a predicted model, not a curated record
GACUGCAGAUACCAUGUUACUGAUAUCUUGUUUUUAACUCUAGUUGCUGUCACUUCAUGAUUAAUAUACAACAUACAGGGAACCUGAAUGAAGCAAGUUAUUCCAUGAAAAAAGUGAAUGCUAUUUUCCAGCAUGUGAUUUAUUUAUUUAGCAAAUGAAGACGGGUACAGCUUGUUUAUGAAAUCUGCUAUCAGUGGUAGAGCAGCACCGUAGGGCAUUUUCAUAUUACCAUAUUAAAACCCAUCAUUUACCAACCCACCCCUAGUCUAGUGUCUGAUCAGAAGGGCUGGUGUCUCUCUGAGAAUUUAUUCCAGCAUCAGAAUAAGUAAGUGCUCUUUCAGAUUUUGAAAACAGUUGAAAAAGUAGCAGCUUUUCCUCUUUGUGGUCACUUACAAUUUACGCAGACUUGGCACUGGCUGUUACUGCAUUAACAGCUCCUCAGCUGUGAGGAAGGUGCUUGCUUUUUAGGAGGUUUGUUGUCAUUGGAUACUGCAGUGCUGAUGUACAUUACUGGGAAGUGCUAUUUUUACCACAAGUCUGCCUCAGCCUCUGGCAAUACCAGCUACUUGAACGCAGUUCCUGCCUCUCUGGUUGGCAUCUCUGUUGUCACACAGACAAAUGCUGCCAUUUGUUUAUUUCUGCAUCCCCAGGUUGCUCUCUGGCACUGCUCACCCCAUACCUGCUUGCUCAUUUGUGCUAAGAGCAGUUGUGCUUUGCUUCUAGAGUGUAUCCUCCAUAUUGACAAGGUGAGCGUUUGCUGCCUUCCGCAUCUCCCCAUCUUAGCUCUGGGCUAUUUCAGGAAAGAAGUAUUUACUCCUGAGUCCUGCUUUGCUUUGUAGCCAGUGCUGCACAGAACAGCUUGGCUUGUGUGACUGCACAUAGCAGGAAGAUGGAGUGUGAAGUUGGUCUUUGUGAGAUAGUCUGGGAGAUUUUUGCUGCACGCAGCCUCUUUGUGCCAUGCUCUCCAGUCUCAGGCAGUGUUGCUGGUGAGCCCUGACUGCCUAUUGUAGCAAAGCCUCCUCUGCAUUACCAGUGCAGCAUUUUCUCUUGCACUGUGAAGCCAGAGAUCAGAGUCUGGUGCACCAGAGUCUGUAUUCUACCAGCCCAUGACACCUGGCACAUGUCAAAGGUGCAGAUCCAUGAACUGGAGCUGGUUGUAUGAGCAUCUCCAAGACCAAAUGCUGGGUCCUGCAACAAGCUAUAGACUUGGGAAGAGUGACUGGAGAGGUCCUCAGCAGAAAAGGACCUGGGGGUGCUGGUUGACAUCCACCUGAAUAUGGAGAUAUUUAAAAGAUGUGCAGAUGCACCAGUUAGGGGUGUGGUUUAGAGAUGGACUUCGCAUGGCUGGGUGAGUUUAGGUUAAUGGUUGAACUCAGUGGUCUUAGAGGUCUUUUCUAACCUAAUGAUUCUCAGCAAAUACAGGUCUACAAUAGAGCAGUGGAGCAAGGGCUUAAGUGUGCCUCUCCCCUUUUCUUUCUUCUCCACAACCAAUAGAAAAUUUCCAUUUCUUUUGGGCAAUAAAAUGCUCUCUUUUUCAUAGACACUGCUCUUUUCUCCACCAGGGCAGGUAAGGGUGCAUCUGCCCAAGCUAGAAUGGUGUCUUUCUUAUCUACUCCAAAAAUAAGAACAAAUAUAAGAAUUACCUCUCUUCCCCAGGUGACUGGGUAGAAGCUGCAGACAAAAACUGGCUUUUCUGUGCAAUGACAGUGACAGUGUGUCCAUGCCAUCCAUCCCUCAUAGUCAUACACGCAACACUGCAUCAUUGCAAGUGACAUCUGCAUAUGCAGCAAGGACAGAGCAAUUGCAAAUCCCACAUCAGGGGGAGGACCAUUACUAUUGCAUUGAGAAUCUGGAAACUAGGACUUGACAGAAGUUGUGUUGAUGGUGUAAGCUUCAUCCAGCUCAUCUCAGGCCUGUGGUGUGGUAGUAGGGGCAGGGCCAGCUCUGUUUCCCCCAGGGUGCCACACUGAUACUUGAUGGGUUUCUCAGCAAGAUGAAAGUUUGAGGCUGUGUGCAAACAGGUGCUGGUUGAGGGGGGGAGAGCCAAAGCACUUGUAGCUUUUCCUCUCCCUGGAAUGGGCACUGGAGGAGUGAGACACGUACUGAUUUGGAGAGGGUGCUGGGGGCAUUCCAGGGUGCUUGGACUGGUGACAUGAGAGUCCUGGGUCAGCACACACCUCUUUGCUCAUUCCCUAGCUUUUUCCUCAUGGUGGAUUGAUGUUGGCUAAUGCCAGGUGCUCACCACACCACUCAUGCUGCUCCUGCUCCCGCUCCCAGACAGGGGGAGAGAAAAUUACAAUAAAAGGCUCAUGGGUUGAGAUAAGGACAGGGAAAUCACUCACCAGUUACUAUCACAGGCAAAACAGUCUCCACUCAAGGAAAUUAAUUUAAUUCAUUGCCAAUCA